CUACGGAGGGUGCAAGCGUUACUCGGAAUCACUGGGCGUAAAGCGCAUGCAGGCGGUCUAAUAAGUUGGAAGUGAAAGCCUAUGGCUCAACCAUAGAACUGCUUCCAAAACUGUUAGACUAGAGUCUGGGAGGGGAAGAUGGAAUUAGUAGUGUAGGGGUAAAAUCCGUAGAGAUUACUAGGAAUACCAAAAGCGAAGGCGAUCUUCUGGAACAGUACUGACGCUGAGAUGCGAAGGCGUGGGGAGCAAACAGGAUUAGAUACCCUAGUAGUCC
RNAcentral lists this ribosomal RNA (274 nucleotides) under uncultured bacterium. RNAcentral's name for it is "partial 16S ribosomal RNA". It matches the Rfam family "Bacterial small subunit ribosomal RNA", at positions 523 to 796 of the family's 1533-position model. The record is from RNAcentral.